CCCUUAGAUGUUCUGGGCCGCACGCGCGCUACACUGACGGAGUCAACGAGUGGUCCUGCAUCGAAAGGUGUGGGUGCUCUUUGGAAACUUCGUCGUGCUGGGGAUAGAUCUUUGCAAUUAUCGAUCUUGAACGAGGAAUUCCUAGUAAGCGUGAUUCAUCAGAUCGCGUUGAUUACGUCCCUGCCCUUUGUACACACCGCCCGUCGCUACUACCGAUUGAACGGUUUAGUGAGGGCCUCGGAUUGGUCUCGGCCCGCUCUUUACCGGGCGGCGCCGUUGGUCGAGAAGACGCUCGAACUUGAUCGUUUAGAGGAAGUAAAAGUCGUAACA
Molecule: ribosomal RNA, 330 nt
Filed under: uncultured eukaryote
Lineage: Eukaryota
Description: partial 18S ribosomal RNA
Rfam family: Eukaryotic small subunit ribosomal RNA
Source: RNAcentral